GCUCAGUAACACGUGGUUAAUCUGCCCUUGGGUGAGGAAUACUCCCGGGAAACUGGGGCUAAUACCUCAUAGUGGAUAUAACCUGGAAUGGUGUAUCCUCGAAAGAUUCAUCGCCCAAGGAUGAGACUGCGUCCGAUUAGGUUGUUGGUGGGGUAACGGCCCACCAAGCCUUUUAUCGGUACGGGUUGUGGGAGCAAGAUCCCGGAGAUGGAUUCUGAGACAUGAAUCCAGGCCCUACGGGGCGCAGCAGGCGCGCAAACUUUACAAUGCGAGCAAUCGUGAUAAGGAAACCCUGAGUGUCUGUCGAUGCAGGCUGUUCAUAUAUUUAAAUUGUAUGUGAAGAAAGGGCAGGGCAAGACCGGUGCCAGCCGCCGCGGUAAUACCGGCUGCUCGAGUGAUGGCCACUAUUACUGGGUUUAAAGCGUCCGUAGCUUGAUUUUUAGGUCUCUUGGGAAAUCUUUUGGCUUAACCACAAGGCGUCUAAGAGAUACCGGAAAUCUUGGAACUGGGAGAGGUAAGCCGUACUUCGGGGGUAGGAGUGAAAUCUUGUAAUCCUCGAGGGACGACCUAUGGCGAAGGCAGCUUACCAGAACAGCUUCGACAGUGAGGGACGAAAGCUGGGGGAGCAAACGGGAUUAGAUACCCCGGUAGUCCCAGCCGUAAACAAUGUGCGUUAGGUGUGUCGGUUACCACGCGUAACUGAUGCGCCGAAGAGAAAUCGUGAAACGCACCACCUGGGAAGUACGGUCGCAAGGCUGAAACUUAAAGGAAUUGGCGGGGGAGCACCACAACAGGUGGAGCCUGCGGUUUAAUUGGAUUCAACGCCGGACAUCUCACCGGAUAAGACAGCUGAAUGAUUGUCAAUCUGAAGGUUUUACAUGACUAGCUGAGAGGAGGUGCAUGGCCGUCGUCAGUUCGUACUGUGAAGCAUCCUGUUAAGUCAGGCAACGAGCGA
Molecule: ribosomal RNA, 955 nt
Filed under: uncultured archaeon
Lineage: Archaea
Description: bacterial SSU rRNA
Rfam family: Archaeal small subunit ribosomal RNA
Source: RNAcentral